RNAcentral lists this long non-coding RNA (1807 nucleotides) under Homo sapiens (human). RNAcentral's name for it is "HSALNT0327068". Lineage: Eukaryota; Metazoa; Chordata; Mammalia; Primates; Hominidae. The record is from RNAcentral.
UCAGUUUUCUCUUUUAUUUUAUUUUACUUUAUUUUAUUUUUUUUAGACGAGUCUCGCUCUGUCACCCAGGCUGGAGUGCAGUGGCGUGAUCUCGGCUCACUGCAACCUCUGCCUCCCGGGUUCAAGCAAUUCUCUGCCUCAGCCUCCCGAGUGGCUGGGAUUACAGGCGCCCGCCACCACGCCCAGCUAUUUUUUUUGUAUUUUUAGUAGAGACGGGGUUUCAGCAUCUUGGCCAGGCUGGUCUUGAACUCUUGACCUGGUGAUCCACCCGCCUCAGCCUCCCAAAGUGCUGGGAUUACAGGCGUGAGUCACCGCGCCCGGCCGAGUUUUCUCUUUUAUUAAAAAAAGAAAAUCAACAACAAAGUUUUGCAGGAUUGUAGUGAGUGAAUAUAAAGUAUGUGAUUCGGUAUCCGGAACAUAAAAGUUCUCAGGAAAUCACGAUUAAUAAUAAACAGUAACAAAUAAUGAUCCGUCCAAACCAAGAGAAGAUAAUCUCCUUUGGCUGUAAGAAAAUAUGACUUAAACAGCUCUUUCCUUCAAGUCCUCCUUCCCACUUUAACAGGCCACACUGUACUGAGCAUCUAGAAGGCUCUCUGCCAACAGCAGCGCCGGUUUGUUAUCUAAGUGAGUCUUGGUCAUUAAGCAAAGUCAGGGUCUUUGUUAUUGGUUUCAUCCCCACUGGCCUUGCAGAGAAAGCCCAAGCCACAGGGUACAUCUCUGCCUGCCAAUGCCCUGUAUUCCUGAAACAAAAAGGCAAUAAAAAACACGACAGUUAGUGUCAGACACGGAGCCCGGGCUUGGGAGCGGGCGGGGAGGGCUCCCUUUUCUCCUUGUUCCGCAGCACCUGUCACGGAGACGGGAGAUGGGGGCCUGGCCCGGGAUGGGCAGCCCUGCUUCCUCCUGCCCCCGCCGCGCUCCCUCCCGAGCUGCUCCGGCCCCGGCUCCCAGCAACGCGGCGGCGGCCCGCUCUGCGACUAGAAAGCGCCCAUUGAGGGCUUGCAGCUGCCAGUGCCGCUUGCCCAAAUCCGACAUAAAGCCUCGACUUCAGCUCCAGUGAAGAAGACACUACUGUGUUCUUCCUGAGCCCCAGUCAUGGCUAUAAAACAUUAAAAGCAAACUGGCGAUUGUUAAACACUGCAUUUGUUUACACCCCGAAUCUUGAAUCACAAUGGGGCAGCUUGGGCUGCCCAGGCCCGGCGAGGCCGGGCUUUCUCCUAGACACUGAAGUCUGUUCUCCGACCCAAGGGACACAAGAAAAGCUGGAGUAAAGUGGCAUGAUCUCGGCUCACUGCAGCCUCCGCCCCCGCCAGGUUCAAGUGAUUCUCCUGCCUCAGCCUCCCGAGUAGCUGGGAUUACAGGCGCAGGCCACCAUGCCCAGGAAAAGGUGCAGAGUUUGAUGACCCCAGGACCUGGAAUUUACCUAGUCAGAGAGAUCAAGGAAGGCUUCCCUAAGGAAGUGGUGCAGAGCUGAGAUCGGAAGAAGCAGGGAUGUUCUCCACAGAAAGAACAUGCUCAGAAGCCCAGUCAGCAGCAGGAAGGAGUGUGGUGAUUUUGAGGAACCGAAAGAAGACCAGCAUGGCUGGAGAACAGAGGAUGGGGGUGUGAUAUGUGACGAGCGAAGAGAAGUCACCCGUACUUCAUUUACCAGUCCUUGCUAAGGAUUAUUCAUUAAAACACACAACAGCAACAAUAACCACAAAAGCAACAAUAAAAAUACCUUUGAACUCACUCAAUCUUGAACUAUUGAACAUGCUAAGUCCGUGUCAUUGGCCUACUUAAUCAGCCCUCGAUUGUAACUUGAAGAAGC